Prionailurus viverrinus (fishing cat) is the source of this 1983-nucleotide long non-coding RNA. RefSeq lists it as uncharacterized. The transcript is spliced from 2 exons. The record is from RefSeq and is a predicted model, not a curated record. NCBI's taxonomy places the organism in Eukaryota, Metazoa, Chordata, Mammalia, Carnivora, Felidae.
AAGUUGUGUAGAUGGACCGGCGAACAGACUGAAAUACUACUGAAAUUACUUCGUUUUCCUCUAGAAGUCAAACUAUGAAAUGCUUUAUAGUGCAUAAACUAAGCAGGCGGAGAGACUUUUGUUCCUGAAGAGAGAGGUUGGCCUAGUUGGGCGGGGCUUAGUGUAACAACUUUGUUCUCCAGUAGAUGGCGCUGCUUAGUUUACUGGGGUGGAUUCUUGUGGCGCUUGUAGGUGCGUAUGCCCAUGCGCGGGACCGAUGAACAUGGCGCCGCCCAGCUACCCGUUCUCUAGUAUUGGAACUGUGCUCUCCCCGCCCCAGUAAUAACGCACCCAUCCUUUGUCUUCCGUCCACUCCGCGCUUUUACACUGUCCCUGACCAAGCCGCAGGCAGCACCUCCCUCCUGAUUUUUGUCUCCGGUGCGGCUGUUUUCCCCCCGGCCCCUUACUUGUGAGGGACUGCGGUUUUGACCCGUUCUGCCCUCCUGCGGGAGGGUCUCACCGAGAAAUGGCCGUCUGCCAGCUGCACCCAGGAAUAUUUGCGGGACGGGGUUGCUGCCGGUGCCCAGAGACUGUGGCCAGGUGCCAGCCCACCCCAGAAAAAGUUUGUGAGAUGGUAUAGCAGCAGUGUUUCAGGGAUUAUGGCAAAUCACAACAUGCAUCUGGCAUCAGGCUUCACCCCCAACGACUUUGUUCCAGCAGCAGCAAAUGUGGUUGUUCUCCCGGGUUCACUGGGGCCUUUUCCUGUGGGGGCCACACAGCCUCUACCAGAUGUGCUCCCAGCAGGAGAAUCACCUGUCCCCGCGUGGCCUGAAGACGACCAGACUUCACUCUGUUCCUGGGGAUUCGCCCUUCCCACCAGAGCACCACCAGAUCUCUUGCUCAGGGGAAAGCUGGCUGCCAUAUUUUGAACAGUCCUAUGGAGAAGACUACUUGGUGAGAAAUGGAGGUCUCCAAAUAAGCUGAGAGAAACUGAGGUUCAGCCAUAUAAGUGAGCCCUCUUAGAAGUGGAUCCUCCAGCCUCAGUCAAGCCUUCAGAUGACUACUGUCCUGGCCAACAUCUUGAUUGCAACCUCAUGGGAGAUCCUGAGCCAGAAACACCCAAAUAAACCAGUCCUGGAUUCCUGAUUCUCAGAAGCUGUUUGAGAUAAUAAAUGUUUGUUGUUUUAAGCCACUGUAGCAAUAGAUAAUAAAAUAACGUUCUCUAGCACAAUUACGAACAAAUGGAGUUUAAUGUCAUAAACCCUACUGUGUAAAUAUGGACAAAUCUCUAAACACAUGUGAUGGAAAGUAAAAUAUUAAUUAUACUAAGAUAUAUUCAAUAUCAUGGGUGGGGAGGGAACAUUGUGGUGGGGGAAGUUAUCUUAUCCAAGAGAUAUACUGGGAGGGUUUAUAUGAUUUCUUUGGGGAACGCUGAUACUUUCUCACUCCCCCAUCUCCAGGGAGAGGACAGGAAGCUACUUUCCAACAUAAACCACAAAUACUGAGAAGGGGCUCUCAGGGCACACUGAAAGCUUGGUGUGUGUUCUCUGCAGUUGAAGAUGGGGGUGGUCCUUGACACCCGCCUAAUUCAGGCAUGGGGAAGCUCUAGCUGUGGCAUGUGGGACAGGACACGGAGCCUACAUUUUGUUGGAGAGUUGAGGCCUUUCCAUGCAACAAGUGUUUGCCACUCAGCAGAGGGAAACCCAGGCUGGAGCCACUUUAUACUCUCCUCCAAGAAGACCGUGUAGAGAGUGAAUAGUGUCUGUUUGCUGGUGUGCUGUGGACCACAAGAACAGGGCUGGAGCAACAUGGGUGCAGCAACCAGAGGAACGGAAGCUAGAGGAAGAGGGGGAAGAAGCAAAGGAGAAGGACAAGAAGUCUUACCUUUGGAUAAAGGGUGAAAUGCUGAUUAUUAUCUUGGUUGGACAUUUUGUUAAGUUUUUCUGUUACAAGGGUUUCUGAGCAUGUGGGAAGGUGUCUGUCAUUAAAUUUAAUGAUAGUUAA